GAACGCUGGCGGCGUGCUUAACACAUGCAAGUCGAACGGGAUUUAGUAGACAGAAGCUUCGGCGGAAGAUUACUAAUGAGAGUGGCGAACGGGUGAGUAACGCGUGAGCAACCUGCCUAUGGCAGUGGGAUAGCCUCGGGAAACCGGGAUUAAUACCGCAUAAAAUCGUAGAAACACAUGUUUUAACGGUCAAAGAUUUAUCGGUCAUAGAUGGGCUCGCGUCUGAUUAGCUAGUUGGUGAGAUAACAGCCCACCAAGGCGACGAUCAGUAGCCGGUCUGAGAGGAUGAACGGCCACAUUGGAACUGAGACACGGUCCAAACUCCUACGGGAGGCAGCAGUGGGGAAUAUUGCACAAUGGGGGAAACCCUGAUGCAGCGACGCCGCGUGAACGAAGAAGGUAUUCCGUAUCGUAAAGUUCUGUCCUAUGGGAAGAUAAUGACAGUACCAUAGAAGAAAGCUCCGGCUAAAUACGUGCCAGCAGCCGCGGUAAU
Molecule: ribosomal RNA, 493 nt
Filed under: uncultured bacterium
Lineage: Bacteria
Description: bacterial SSU rRNA
Rfam family: Bacterial small subunit ribosomal RNA
Source: RNAcentral